RNAcentral lists this ribosomal RNA (768 nucleotides) under uncultured bacterium. RNAcentral's name for it is "bacterial SSU rRNA". It matches the Rfam family "Bacterial small subunit ribosomal RNA", at positions 58 to 852 of the family's 1533-position model. The record is from RNAcentral.
CAAGUCGUACGGGUGUAGCAAUACACCAGUGGCGGACGGGUGAGUAAUGAAUCGCUAAUGUACCCUCUUGUCUGGGAUAGCCGGCCGAAAGGCCGGGUAAUACCAGAUGAUAUAACCGAAUCGCAUGGUUUGGUUCUCAAAGGGCAACCGCAUGAGGAGCAGGCGAUUUCGUAUCAGCUAGUUGGUGAGGUAACGGCUCACCAAGGCGACGACGCGUAGCUGGUCUGAGAGGACGGCCAGCCACAUUGGGACUGAGACACUGCCCAGACUCCUACGGGGGGCUGCAGUAACGAAUCUUCCGCAAUGCACGCAAGUGUGACGGAGCGACGCCGCGUGGAGGUUAAGUCCUUCGGGAUGUAAACUCCUGUCAGGGGUUACCAAGUUCUGAGGAGCCCCAGAGGAAGGCACGGCUAACUCUGUGCCAGCAGCCGCGGUAAUACAGAGGUGCCAAGCGUUAGGCGGAAUCACUGGGCUUAAAGCGCGUGUAGGCGGGUCGUUAAGUGUCCGAGUGAAAUCCCACGGCUCAACCGUGGAACUGCCGGGCAUACUGGCGAUCUUGAGGCAUUCAGGGGCGAGUGGAACAAAUGGUGGAGCGGUGAAAUGCGUAGAUAUCAUUUGGAACGCCAAUGGUGAAAACAACUCGCUGGGAAUGAUCUGACGCUGAGACGCGAAAGCCAGGGGAGCGAACGGGAUUAGAUACCCCGGUAGUCCUGGCCCUAAACGAUGUCCACUAGAUCGUGGCACCUCUGACGGUGUCAUGGUCGGAGC